AUUGAACGCUGGCGGCAUGCCUUACACAUGCAAGUCGAACGGCAGCGCGGACUUCGGUCUGGCGGCGAGUGGCGAACGGGUGAGUAAUACAUCGGAACGUACCCUGUUGUGGGGGAUAACUAGUCGAAAGAUUAGCUAAUACCGCAUACGACCUGAGGGUGAAAGUGGGGGACCGCAAGGCCUCACGCAGCAGGAGCGGCCGAUGUCUGAUUAGCUAGUUGGUGGGGUAAAGGCCCACCAAGGCGACGAUCAGUAGCUAGUCUGAGAGGACGAUCAGCCACACUGGGACUGAGAUACGGCCCAGACUCCUACGGGAGGCAGCAGUGGGGAAUUUUGGACAAUGGGGGCAACCCUGAUCCAGCAAUGCCGCGUGUGUGAAGAAGGCCUUCGGGUUGUAAAGCACUUUUGUCCGGAAAGAAAUCGCGCUGGUUAAUACCUGGCGUGGAUGACGGUACCGGAAGAAUAAGCACCGGCUAACUACGUG
This 484-nucleotide ribosomal RNA is filed under the name uncultured bacterium. RNAcentral describes it as "partial 16S ribosomal RNA". It matches the Rfam family "Bacterial small subunit ribosomal RNA", at positions 30 to 507 of the family's 1533-position model. The record is from RNAcentral.